This is a transfer RNA of Loxodonta africana (African savanna elephant), 71 nucleotides long. It matches the Rfam family "tRNA". From Rfam's summary of the family: Transfer RNA (tRNA) molecules are approximately 80 nucleotides in length. Their secondary structure includes four short double-helical elements and three loops (D, anti-codon, and T loops). Further hydrogen bonds mediate the characteristic L-shaped molecular structure. tRNAs have two regions of fundamental functional importance: the anti-codon, which is responsible for specific mRNA codon recognition, and the 3' end, to which the tRNAs corresponding amino acid is attached (by aminoacyl-tRNA synthetases). tRNAs cope with the degeneracy of the genetic code in two manners: having more than one tRNA (with a specific anti-codon) for a particular amino acid; and 'wobble' base-pairing, i.e. permitting non-standard base-pairing at the 3rd anti-codon position. Lineage: Eukaryota; Metazoa; Chordata; Mammalia; Proboscidea; Elephantidae. The record is from Rfam.
ACAUUGAUGGUUCAGUGGUAGAAUUCUUGCCUUCUAGGCAAGAGACCUGGGUUUGAUUCCCAGCCAAUGCA